Molecule: ribosomal RNA, 494 nt
Filed under: uncultured bacterium
Lineage: Bacteria
Description: bacterial SSU rRNA
Rfam family: Bacterial small subunit ribosomal RNA
Source: RNAcentral
AUUGAACGCUGGCGGCAUGCCUUACACAUGCAAGUCGAACGGUAACAGGUCUUCGGAUGCUGACGAGUGGCGAACGGGUGAGUAAUACAUCGGAACGUGCCCGAUCGUGGGGGAUAACGCAGCGAAAGCUGUGCUAAUACCGCAUACGAUCUACGGAUGAAAGCGGGGGAUCGCAAGACCUCGCGCGGACGGAGCGGCCGAUGGCAGAUUAGGUAGUUGGUGGGAUAAAAGCUUACCAAGCCGACGAUCUGUAGCUGGUCUGAGAGGACGACCAGCCACACUGGGACUGAGACACGGCCCAGACUCCUACGGGAGGCAGCAGUGGGGAAUUUUGGACAAUGGGCGCAAGCCUGAUCCAGCCAUGCCGCGUGCAGGAUGAAGGCCUUCGGUUGUAAACUGCUUUGUACGGAACGAAAAAGACUCUCUCUAAUACAGGGGUGAAUGACGGUACCGUAAGAAUAAGCACCGGCUAACUACGUGCCAGCAGCCGCGGU